RNAcentral lists this ribosomal RNA (300 nucleotides) under Blastocystis hominis. RNAcentral's name for it is "SSU rRNA". It matches the Rfam family "Eukaryotic small subunit ribosomal RNA", at positions 551 to 858 of the family's 1831-position model. The record is from RNAcentral. Lineage: Eukaryota; Bigyra; Opalinata; Blastocystidae.
GAGGGCAAGUCUGGUGCCAGCAGCCGCGGUAAUUCCAGCUCCAAUAGCGUAUAUUAACGUUGUUGCAGUUAAAAAGCUCGUAGUUGAAAUGAAGGGUAGUUGUGUAAUGAAUACAUUCGUGUAUUUUGUUAUUCUACUACCCUCCUUCUAAAUUCGAUAUAUGAGUAUUAAUUUACUUGUAUAUGGUUUUAGACGUUUACUGUGAGAAAAUUAGAGUGUUCAAAGCAGGCAUUUGCUUGAAUAUAUUAGCAUGGAAUAAUCAUGUAUGAUUUUCAUGAUGUAUUUGAUUGGUUUGGUUCA